Molecule: microRNA precursor, 125 nt
Filed under: Brassica carinata (Ethiopian mustard)
Lineage: Eukaryota; Viridiplantae; Streptophyta; Magnoliopsida; Brassicales; Brassicaceae
Also listed under: 1 other name
Description: MIR9563 microRNA precursor family
Rfam family: MIR9563 microRNA precursor family
Source: Rfam by way of RNAcentral
GUAAUAUAAGAUACGGGUUCUUAGUUUUUAACUAAAAAAACUAAAAGACGUCUCUUAAAUAAGAGAUAUAAGAAACGUCUCUUAACUUUUUUAAUUAAAAGUUAAGAGACUGUAUCUUAUAUUAC